RNAcentral lists this ribosomal RNA (253 nucleotides) under uncultured bacterium. RNAcentral describes it as "partial 16S ribosomal RNA". It matches the Rfam family "Bacterial small subunit ribosomal RNA", at positions 524 to 776 of the family's 1533-position model. The record is from RNAcentral.
GACGUAGGAUGCGAGCGUUGUUCGGAAUUAUUGGGCGUAAAGCGUGCGUAGGCGGUCAUCUAAGUCUGGUGUUAAAGCUAGAGGCUCAACCUCUGUGUUGCACUGGAAACUGGGUGACUUGAGUGCGGUAGGGGAAGGUGGAAUUCCGAGUGUAGCGGUGAAAUGCGUAGAUAUUCGGAAGAACACCGGUGGCGAAGGCGACCUUCUGGGCCGCAACUGACGCUGAGGCACGAAAGCAUGGGGAGCAAACGGG